RNAcentral lists this ribosomal RNA (428 nucleotides) under uncultured bacterium. RNAcentral describes it as "partial 16S ribosomal RNA". It matches the Rfam family "Bacterial small subunit ribosomal RNA", at positions 338 to 795 of the family's 1533-position model. The record is from RNAcentral.
CCUACGGGUGGCUGCAGUCGAGGAUCUUCGUCAAUGGGCGCAAGCCUGAACGAGCGAUGCCGCGUGAGCGAUGAAGGCCUUCGGGUUGUAAAGCUCAAAAAAAAAAAAACUCGAAUCUCAGUAAGCUCGGGCUAAGUUCGUGCCAGCAGCCGCGGUAAGACGAACCGAGCGAACGUUGUUCGGAAUCACUGGGCUUAAAGGGCGCGUAGGCGGAUUCUCAAGUCCGGGGUGAAAUCCCACAGCUCAACUGUGGAACUGCCUCGGAUACUGGGAGUCUCGAGGGUGGCAGGGGUAUGCGGAACUAUCGGUGGAGCGGUGAAAUGCGUUGAUAUCGAUAGGAACUCCGGUGGCGAAGGCGGCAUACUGGCCCUUCUGACGCUGAGGCGCGAAAGCCAGGGGAGCAAACGGGAUUAGAUACCCUGGUAGUC